This is a long non-coding RNA of Xiphophorus hellerii (green swordtail), 3579 nucleotides long. RefSeq lists it as uncharacterized. The record is from RefSeq and is a predicted model, not a curated record. The transcript is spliced from 3 exons. NCBI's taxonomy places the organism in Eukaryota, Metazoa, Chordata, Actinopteri, Cyprinodontiformes, Poeciliidae.
UUUUCAGCACAAAAUAGGAGUUCAAGUCAAUAAUUCCUUAAUAUUUAUGAAAAAAAUACUAGUGGAAAAAUACAUUAUCCCCAUAUUAUGAUUUAUAAUAUACUGUAGGUCUUGUAAACUAGACCAAAAGUACCUGGCAAGGUACUUUGUGUUUACCUUUGUGUUUUAGCAGUAUGAACCAAUUUCAGCUUCUCAAGCUGCUUCUUCUUUAUUUCAGACGGACUCCACAGAACAUGAGGUGAAUUCUCUGCAAAUAAUUUGAAGUCACAUACCACAGAAAAAUCUGCAAACGGGUGAAUCUGCACAUCCUUAGCCAUGAAUAGGUGGAGGUCGCUGUAAGUAUGAAUACUCUGUGCAGAAAGUACUCCUAGAUAAAGAAUUUUGUAUUUGGUUGCGUCUCUUUCCUGGACGGAGUCAUUCACAGAUUUCUUGCUCCCAGUAUCUUUGUCUUUCUCUGUAUUGUGUUUUUUUCCUGAACCAUUCCACUGAUUAGAGGCUAAUGUAACAUUUGUGCACUCUUUAUCCUAGAUAGUAGUCUGGUUCAGUGUUUUUUUCUUCUUCAUAUUUUUCUCUAAAGUUGUUUGAAGUUUUUUACCUGAUGUAGUAUCUGUUUAUUUUUACUCUGUGAAUAGUAGUUUAUUUACAGAACAAAAGCACAUGCUCCUUUUUCCACCUGCCCACUUCAUGUAUAAAUAAACAUCUAAGAUGAUGCCUAAAUUCCUUUGCCCUGCUAGCAGUGCUCUUUUUCUUGCCUAAUUUGGAAAUAAUUUGCCUCACAUGUCAAGCUACGUGUCAGCCUUUUAGAAACACUUUUUCUUUUGUUCAGGUUUCCUGUUUUGUAUCUACUGAGCAAGCAUUCUUCUGUUGGAAACUUGAGAAGCAGGCAAAUGUUGUAUAACUGUUAUGUCUUUUGACACACUUUAUGAAGCAUCUGAAACUUAGAAUUGCACAUCAAGAAAAAGUGAUUUAUUUUAAGUGAACGUCUAACGGAAGCCGUUUUUCUCUUAACCUUAAGCAUGUCUGACCUAGUUAGCCAAGACUCGGAAACGUAUCAACCAUUAAAGCACAUUUUAUACUGCCAUGCACUCGGGUUGCAUAAAAGUAAGAAGAGGAGCAAAACUGAAACUCAACGUAAAUCAGAAUUCAAAACAGCUGUGGCUGUUGAUGUGAACAAACCAGUUCAAGUAGCCCUGGCUGUUGAAUAUUCACUAUAAAUUUAAAUAAUCAGAUAGAGAUGGAAGAGCAAAAAUGGUCACUUCAGAUGAAAUACAGCAACUGCUAGAGAUCAUCAUGUACUUUUCCAUGUCUUGACAAAGAGCGAAGCGGGACUUUGAGUUCAGACCAACCUCAGAUUCACUAUGUCCAUCACAGAUCAAAGAUUUAGAGGCCAAAAGAUAAUAGCUUUUUUCAUUAUGUUCACUUUACAACUCUAUAGUUCAGAAAGGAAAUGCUUAAUUACAUUAAUUGGUCUUUGUGGAAUCACAAGACGAUCACAUUGCGCUAUGUUAUCAAGGUCCUUCAGAAGAAUGCGAUAAAAUUCUGUGAAAUGCCAAAGAAAAUAAUUUUGAAGACUUGGACGGUGUCAGUCUUUCAGCCACCGAUUAUCUCAAAACGCUGCAGAAUGUGGGAUGAAGCAGCUGCACAGUUUGCCACUUGACUGCAACUCAGAGAGAGUUAAAGAGCAAAGAUCUCAGUACAGAACGACCACCUGAAUACGUUCACAUGGAUGAAUCUGGGUCCAGUCUGACCAACAGGAGAGGCUGGAAACUGGUUGGUCGUUGUUGCCAUCCCUGGUAAUGUGACAGUUUUUUGUUGAUUGCUUUGAUUUGCUUAGAGAUCACUGGCGAUCUACUCUGUUUUCAUCAUCUGCUGCUCAGCAGAGCAGAAGACACAUCUUGCAGAUGCGUUUAUUGGUUUUUGACGAAUUUUCCCCCCUCACACGUUUGCAAAGCCAUUAACACAGAUGUCAUUCAAGCAGUCCCAACUCCAUUGUUUUAGCCAUGGUGAUGCUGAGUGGUGCCAAUAAUUUAAGUUGACAGAAAGUGAAAUGAGCCAGAAACGCCACCUAGUUAAACUAGGAAUGAAAAAUAAAUAAAGGCAGAAAUGAGCAGCGUUUCAAAAACCAGCCGGUUAAAAAUGUACAAUAAAUUCACAAAAUAAGUAGAAAAAAAAUGCAGUGGCCUGUGCCUACAUCUUAAAACCAGCGGUAGAGCAGUCUGUAGGAUAAAAAGAUUAAAUAAAGAUAAUCAAGAUCAAUAAAACUCUUCAGGACGAAGGAAAAGCAAAGUCUUAGCUAGAAGCGGGUUGUGGUCCUCUCGGCGUCUGCGCAGCUUUCCUCAGCGGCCUCCAGCGAUCCCCAGCGCUCGGUCCUGCGCCCUCGACAACAAACCUGGAUGACUGCACACCUUCCAGCUGUGCACCAUCCACCAGAGCUGGGUUCUUGGCUCCACGUCUCCCGGAUCAGCUGUGCGUCUCGGCCCCUGCUCAUUUUGCCGCGCCUUUAGUCCUGCUGCUCCGCCAACACCGGUUCGUCGCCGGCUGCUGCUCUUCUUAUUUCCCAAUUUCUGGCUUUCACGCCAACCUGUGGGAGCUCUCAGUGGGCGUGUCAUGGGUGGCAAUCCCAGCCUCAAAGGCAAAUAUGCGCAAAAUGAAUCAGCGAAGUAGCGUGCAACCCCAAAUGAAUGCAAGAUUAAAAUAACACAACACAAUUAAGUUAUUCCAAAAUAUCACAACAAAGCUAAAUAAUCCAAAAAUAAACACAGCAAAUAAAUAUGAACACAUGCAAGUAAAUAAAAAAAAAAGCCACGUGGCCACAGUAACCAGAAAUCCUAACUAUUAGAAACUGUCUAGUUUCUAAUAGAGUUUCUAUUAGAAACUGUCUAGAUUAGUAUGAGUCCAUUGAAGCACAUGAUUCAAAUUCCUUACCACAAGGAUCCGAAAUGCUUUGAUGCGAAUUUUAUUAUUUUAUUUUUUAAACUGUGGAAACUGAAAUACUGUGAAUAAUAAAGGAAAUAUUGUAAAUAUAAAGUGAAAAUCUAUGAGAAUAAGAAAUAUAGAAAAUCAAAAUGAAGUGAUUUUUGUUUGGUUACCGUAGUUAAAGGUGUUUGGAUGACAUCUGUGUUGACUGCUUGCAUUGUGCCAGUGUCAUUGUGUGUCAUUGUGUGGAACAAAGUGAGACUAACUGUGUUGUCCAGGUCAGAGUUGUUCAAUACCAGUCAAGAAUUCCCAUAUGUUUUCCUUCAUCCUUUUCUCUUUCCCAACAGAUGAGUUCCUGUCUUCAUGGCGGUGGAAAGUUUGUGACCUUACAUCAGAGAAAAUCUUUUGUAGGCCUUAGAGUUGGGCUGCAGUGUGAAUACCCAGUGUGGAUUCAGCAUGUGGUGCUUGAUGUAGAGGAGGUCCUGUGGCCCUGCUCCAAUGUGUCAACAUGAUGCUGCAGAGAAGAUACUGUUGGCAGUGCUGAGAAAAGAAGAGUUCAAAAGUCACUAACAUGACCCAGAGCUGCUUCUGGUAACAUCGCAGCUGAAACAGGACGGCUAACUUACACAUUUAUGCAUUUCCCUUCUGAUGCUGACAAAAGCG